Molecule: long non-coding RNA, 1479 nt
Filed under: Felis catus (domestic cat)
Lineage: Eukaryota; Metazoa; Chordata; Mammalia; Carnivora; Felidae
Description: lncRNA (ENSFCAG00000048813.1)
Source: RNAcentral
CGGGGCCAGGUGACCCCGAGCCCCUGUUCUCAGCCCGUGUGCUGCUGAGGACCCGCGAGGCGUGGCUGCGGACGGCCAGCGGGGCGGGGGUGUUCGGGCUGUAGCGCGCAUUCGGGGGAGGCCGGCCUGGGGCUCCCGUGGGCUUGGCAGGUGCCCGCAGGAGUCACUCCUCCCGCGGCCUGAGUGGAUGUGGCACAGAGCCCAGUGUGGAGGCCGAAGGGUGGCAGUUUGGGUGCUCGUCCUCUGUGAACCUGCUUAAAUGGCUGCGAGGCCCCACAGCCGCCUGCCCCCAGCGUGUUCCCGGCUGGGCCUGCCCCGUGCCCCCCUUCCUCUCCUCCCUCCUCCCCCUCCUCCUCCUCCCUCCUCCUCCCUCCUCCUCCCUCCUCCCUCCUCCUCCUUCCCUCAUCCCUCCCUCCUCUUCCUCCUCCCUCCCUCCUCUUCCUCCUCCUCCUCCCUCCUCCUUCCUCCUCCUCCCCCUCCUCCUUCCCUCCUCCUUCCCUCCUCCUCCUCCUCCUUCCCUCCUCUUCCUCCUCCCUCCUCUUCCUCCUCCCUCCUCCUUCCCUCCUCCUCCUUCCUCCUCCUCCUCUCCUCCUCCCUCCUCUUCCUCCUCCUCCCUCCUCCUCCUCUUCCUCCUCCUCCUUCCUCCUCCUCCUCCCUCCUCCCUCCUCCUCCCUCCUCUCCUCCUCCUCCCUCCUCCCUCCUCCUCCUCUCCUCCUCCCUCCUCCCUCCUCCCUCCUCCCUCCUCCUCCCUCCUCCUUCCCUCCUCCUCUCCUCCUCCUCCCUCCUCCCUCCUCCCCCUCCUCCUCCUCUUCCUCCUCCUCCCUCCUCCCUCCUCCCUCUCUCUCCUCCUCCUCUUCCUCCUCCUCCCUCCUCCUCCUCCUUCCUCCUCCUCCCUCCUCCUCCUUCCCUCAUCCUCCUCCUCUUCCUCCUCCUCCCUCCUCCCCCUCCUCCUCCCUCCUCCUCCCUCCUCCUCCUCCUCCCUCCUCUUCCUCCUCCCUCCUCUUCCUCCUCCUCCCUCCUCCCCCCUCUCUCCCUCCUCCUCUUCCUCCUCCUCCCUCCUCCUCCUCCUUCCUCCUCCUCCUCCCCCUCCUCCUCCUUCCCUCCUCCUCCUCCUCCCUCCUCCUCCUCUUCCUCCUCCUCCCUCCUCCCUCCUCCUCCUCCUCCCUCCUCCCCCUCCUCCCCCUCCUCCUCCUCUCCUCCUCCUCUCCUCCUCCUCCCCUUUCUCCUCACCCUCCUCAUUCUCCUCCUCCCUCCUCCUCUCCCUCCUCCUCCCCCUCCCCCCCAGCUGGCAGUGCCCACCAGCUGGCACCCCGGACAGGGGACCAGGAGCCAGCCUCACAUGUCAUAGAAUAAAAGCUGAGCUGUGACAAUCCUGUCUGCCACAGAAAGAGAGGUUUUAUGUAGUUUUUGGCAUUUACAAAUCCUUUGUGAAAAGGUCACCCUGUUCUUGGAAUCUUUUAUUAAUGCUGAAGACUGGCC